This 1257-nucleotide long non-coding RNA is filed under the name Daphnia magna. RNAcentral's name for it is "uncharacterized LOC123475304, transcript variant X2". The record is from RNAcentral. Lineage: Eukaryota; Metazoa; Arthropoda; Branchiopoda; Diplostraca; Daphniidae.
UGUGUGGCGUCCUCUCGUUCCGGGCAUCCGUUCGGGCAAUAUGCGAGUGUUUCCGGUUCCAAUCUGCUGAUGAAGUGGUUUAGUUUGUUGUGGCCGCUGCGUAGUCGGAAGAAGGCUGAUUGGAUAGUUCUUUUCUUAUUGGUGUGCCAUGUGGCAUUGCGUCGGUCCUUCCGGAUGUUUGUCGCCAGUUGGUCUGCGAUUUCGUUUCCAACGAUUCCGGCGUGUGAGGGUAUUGCUGGGCUUGACUCCCAUUUGAAGUUGGAUAUUGCUUGAAUGGAAGAUUUUGAAUCAGUGAAGAUGUUGGCUGAGUCCAUCUCGUACUUGUUGAGGUAUGUGGAAUGCACAGCUGGCAGUUUUUGUUGUCUCGCACACUGAUCCAUCAGUGUAUACUUCAAGGUGGUUGGUGUUUGGAUUACGAGAGUCCUUCUAUCCAUGUGUUGUCGUACGCCUUCGAGAUGUCCAGGAAUAUUGCUGUGGUUGGGUGGCUGCUGUUUAAGCCGGAUUUGAUGGCUGAUGCUAUUCGGAUUAGAUUGUCGGUGGUGGUACAUCCUCUUCGGAAUCCGGUUUGGACUUUCGGCAUGAUGUCAAUGAGACUGGUCUGUACGAUUCCGCUUCUCCGGGUGGAUUGCCUGGUUUGAGGAUGGGUGUGACGAUGGCACAUUUCCAAUCUUUUGGGAUGUAUCCUUCCCUGAACAUCAAGUUGAUUGUUGUGAGUAGACUCUUACGAUUUCCACCGUUUAAGUUUUUCAGCAUUCUGUUGUGGAUUCUGUCAAGGCCCAUCGCUUUGUCUGGUAGUUGGGAGAGGCUCCUUGUCAAUUCUUGAAUGGUGAAGUUAGAGUUGAGGGGUUCGGCAUCCGGGUUCUUGAUUUGUUUUUCAAUUUCCUUUACUUGCUCUGGCCUUGUUGGUGGGAUGUCAUCGUCGAUAGGGGAGAACUGCUCCAAGAAAAUGUUGGCUUUCUCCACUGGGUCUCUUGUUUGUUCACCUUUCUGGUUGUUGAGGGGGGCAUUGAUGGUUUCUCUCCGUCCGUUCAUCAUUGUUUUUGCGAAUUUCCAAAACUUUGAUGUGUUUUUUCCGUCUAGUGAGUCGAUGUGUCUUUCCCACGAGCUAUUUUUUGAUUCUAGGAUUGUCCUCUUCUUAAUUGCUUCCAUUUUGUUGAGGUGUGUUUUGUCGGUUUGGAGUAAUCGAACGCGUAUUUAGUACCGCAGCAGAUAUUCUUCACGCUAAACGUAGCAGAAUGAAAGCCGAUCUUUUCCAAA